AUGUGUUUUCUUCAGUUGCAGCACCUUGAGCUCUCUCAGCCACAGUAGUGAUGGCACAUGGGGGGGUUCUCAAAUGAGGGGGCAAACUCCACUCCGUUCGAGUAUGGGGUCUCUGCAGAACAAAAGUGGGCGUUUCUAUAUUUGUGGGUGUUUACAAACUGGUGGGUGUUUAUAAAUCAUGCAAUGAAAAUGAUCCCUUUCACCUGACCCAACCCCACCCCUAAACCCUACCCUCACUGUGACGUGGGUAACACAGGUAACACGUUAAAAAACGCCCCUCUGUUUGAUCUGAUAACUCCUAUUACUUCUGCUGAGACGCAUACUUGCUCCGUUCUCUCUCUUGCCUCCCCUGAUUGGCCUGCUACACAUAUAUGCGUUUACUGUGUUUUCAAGAUUAAGGAUCUUUAAAGAAAGCCGCAUACAAUUUAACAGAAUAAUUGACGGAAUGUUAUUACAUUUUAGCAAAAGGGUUAGGCUAUAAAGUUUUUACCACAUUUGUGCAGGAAGUGAUACGUCUGACACUUACAAGCACAACAACCAAAAACACUACAAAGUUGGUUUCUCUCAGUGAUCAAACAACUUCAAAUACCCUUACAAACUUUUUUAUUUUUAAAUCACUGAUUUAAUUUUUAAUUUUCUUCAAGACGCAACAAUGAGGGUACAGAUAUGGAAUGCUAACAUGAGGAAUGAGGAAAUUACACUUCUUUUUGUUUUCUUUUCUUUCUUUUUUUGCUAUCGCUACCCAUUUCUGAAUACAUAGACCACUUUUUCAAAAAUUCUUCAAAUGGUGAGCACAAAUGCAGUUUAUGUGGGAUAAAUCUGUGGAAAUUAUGUGGAAAUCUGUGCCAAAAUUAUUGUCACUCCUCCUCCUACAGUACAACACAACCCAAUCCAACUACCAAUCACCAACCUGAUACACGGAACUGAUCAGUUUUCACCUGACUACACACCAGAGAAAGACAUACAGAUCUUUCUUAUCCCUUCAGGAGUGCAGGGGAAAAAAACGGAAGAAACAUGGAUCACAAAAAUUCUCCAACAGAAGCAGGGCAGCCUUUACUUCCACUGCAGGAGGAUCCUCCAGAGUACUCCAGUCAUAGAUUCCCUCCUUCUGAGAUCUAUCCCAGCACUUCAGGUCAACCUGCCCAGCAGUAUGGAGCUCCGGCAGCACCUGGUCAGUGCAUCCAAAUGCCAUAUCCAGGGCAGACUGUGGUCACUGUGCAGCCUCCAGUUAAUGUGUCCUUCACUCCACUGGCCAAUCCACUGCCAGAUCACCUGUGCUAUUCCAUCUUUACCAUGCUGUGCUGCUGCUUACCUCUGGGAUCGGCUGCUCUUGUUUACUCCAUGACAACUCGAGAUGCUAACAUAUUUGGACACCAACCAAUAGCAAGCAGGAACUCCAGAAUGGCUCGCAUCCUUAACCAUGUCAGUGUUGGUGUUGGCCUCCUCGUCUGGUUGAUCAUUGUCGCUUAUUUCAUUCUUUUUAUCAUCACAGUUAGCUAACUAAGACCAUAAGUGUAAGAAAUAUCAUGGUAGGACAGCAGAAAGUUAUAGAUCAGGGGUCUCCAGACUUGGUCCUGGAGGCCCACUCCCCUGCGGAGUUUAGCUCCAACACACCUGAUUGAAAGUUUCUUCUAUGCCUAGUGAGACCUUGAUUAGCUGGUUCAGGUGUGUUUAAUUGGGGUUGGAGCUAAACUUUGCAGGACAGCAUCCCUCCAGGACCGAGUUUGGAGAUCUCUGUUAUAGAUAUAUAGGUGUUAUAGGUGAGGAUUUUACAAACACUAACACAUUAUAUUUUGAAUACACAGGCAUUUGGUGGUCUGCUUUUAAAUGUUAGUGUUGCUCAAGUUAUAAUUGAAAUGAGAGCUGUAUCCACCUAUAGGGCCAGCGAGGAAUGAUUCAGUAUAUUUCAUGUAACUCAUCUGCCUUGUCAUAAGACAUUUGUUUUUCUUCUUGUCUUGUUACAUCAUAAAACUUUGGGUAAUCAGUAAAUGUAUUUAACAUUA
This is a long non-coding RNA of Ctenopharyngodon idella (grass carp), 2003 nucleotides long. RefSeq lists it as uncharacterized. Lineage: Eukaryota; Metazoa; Chordata; Actinopteri; Cypriniformes; Xenocyprididae. The transcript has 2 exons. The record is from RefSeq and is a predicted model, not a curated record.